CUCCUACGGGGCGCAGCAGUGAGGAAUAUUGGUCAAUGGUCGGGAGACUGAACCAGCCAAGCCGCGUGAGGGAUGAAGGUACAGAGUAUCGUAAACCUCUUUUGUCAGGGAACAAAGGCGGGGACGUGUCCCCGGAUGAGUGUACCUGAAGAAAAAGCAUCGGCUAACUCCGUGCCAGCAGCCGCGGUAAUACGUAGGGGGCAAGCGUUAUCCGGAAUUACUGGGUGUAAAGGGAGCGUAGACGGCUGUGCAAGUCUGGAGUGAAAGGCGGGGGCCCACCCCCCGGACUGCUCUGGAAACUGUAU
Molecule: ribosomal RNA, 305 nt
Filed under: uncultured bacterium
Lineage: Bacteria
Description: bacterial SSU rRNA
Rfam family: Bacterial small subunit ribosomal RNA
Source: RNAcentral